UACUCCUACGGGGAGGCAGCAGUAGGGAAUCUUCCGCAAUGGACGCAAGUCUGACGGAGCAACGCCGCGUGAGUGAUGAAGGUUUUCGGAUCGUAAAGCUCUGUUGCCCUAGACGAACAGCAGCAGGAGUAACUGCCUGUUGUGUGACGGUAUAGGAGAAGAAAGCCCCGGCUAACUACGUGCCAGCAGCCGCGGUAAUACGUAGGGGGCAAGCGUUGUCCGGAAUUAUUGGGCGUAAAGCGCGCGCAGGCGGUUAAUUAAGUUGGGUGUUUAAGCCCGGGGCUCAACCCCGGUUCGCAUCCAAAACUGGUUGACUUGAGUGUAGGAGAGGAAAGUGGAAUUCCACGUGUAGCGGUGAAAUGCGUAGAGAUGUGGAGGAACACCAGUGGCGAAGGCGACUUUCUGGCCUAUAACUGACGCUGAGCGCGAAAGCUGCCUUC
This 440-nucleotide ribosomal RNA is filed under the name Paenibacillus sp. Its description in RNAcentral is "bacterial SSU rRNA". It matches the Rfam family "Bacterial small subunit ribosomal RNA", at positions 334 to 767 of the family's 1533-position model. The record is from RNAcentral. Lineage: Bacteria; Bacillati; Bacillota; Bacilli; Caryophanales; Paenibacillaceae.